CCGUGCUAGGUGGGGCGCUAGCGGUGCCCUGAGUUCCGAUUCGUCGGGAUGACCCGCAAUCCGCUAUAGCGGGGCUGAUGCUCUGUCGAGGGCUGUUCGCGUCGGGCCCCCUGGCCCGAGCGACGGCGUUGAGGGCUGGGUCCUCUGCAACGCUGCGCCGUGAACUUGGUCAGGUCCGGAAGGAAGCAGCCAUAAGCGUGCCGGUAGCGUGUGCCGGAGGGCAACCUGGCCGGAGCCGUCUGCCCGGGCAAGCCCCGCCGCGAUGGUUCGACACAGAGCGCACGG
RNAcentral lists this signal recognition particle RNA (285 nucleotides) under Phycisphaerae bacterium. Its description in RNAcentral is "signal recognition particle sRNA large type". It matches the Rfam family "Bacterial large signal recognition particle RNA". Rfam says of the family: The signal recognition particle (SRP) is a universally conserved ribonucleoprotein involved in the co-translational targeting of proteins to membranes. Archaeal SRP consists of a 7S RNA and homologues of the eukaryotic SRP19 and SRP54 proteins. Lineage: Bacteria; Pseudomonadati; Planctomycetota; Phycisphaerae. The record is from RNAcentral.